RNAcentral lists this transfer RNA (89 nucleotides) under Agromyces mediolanus. Its description in RNAcentral is "tRNA-Gly". Lineage: Bacteria; Bacillati; Actinomycetota; Actinomycetes; Micrococcales; Microbacteriaceae. The record is from RNAcentral.
GAUCUCGCCGGGCCGGCGGUCCUUCUCCUUGCCGCGGAGGGCCGGCACGAUGCAGAAGGUGCAGGUGUUGUUGCAGCCGACCGAGAUCG